Molecule: ribosomal RNA, 468 nt
Filed under: uncultured bacterium
Lineage: Bacteria
Description: partial 16S ribosomal RNA
Rfam family: Bacterial small subunit ribosomal RNA
Source: RNAcentral
GACGAACGCUGGCGGCGUGCUUAACACAUGCAAGUCGAACGGAAAGGCCCUGCUUUUGUGGGGUGCUCAAGUGGCGAACGGGUGAGUAACACGUGAGUCACCUGCCCUUGACUUUGGGAUAACUUCAGGAAACUGGGGCUAAUACCGGCUAGGAGCUCCUGCUGCAGGGUGGGGGUUGGAAAGUUUCGGCGGUUGGGGAUGGACUGGCGGCUUAUCAGCUUGUGGGUGGGGUAGUGGCUUACCAAGGCAUUGACGGGUCGCCGGCCUGGGAGGGUGACCGGCCACAUUGGGACUGAGAUACGGCCCAGACUCCUACGGGAGGCAGCAGUGGGGAAUAUUGCACAAUGGGCGGAAGCCUGAUGCAGCAACGCCGCGUGCGGGAUGACGGCCUUCGGGGUGUAAACCGCUUUCGCCUGUGACGAAGCGUGAGUGACGGUAAUGGGUAAAGAAGCACCGGCUAACUACGUG